GACGUAGGGGGCGAGCGUUGUCCGGAUUUAUUGGGCGUAAAGCGUGCGUAGGCGGCUGCGCAAGUCGGGUGUGAAACCCCGGGGCUCAACCCCGGAACUGCAUCCGAUACUGCGUGGCUAGAGGUAGGUAGGGGAGAUCGGAAUUCCUGGUGUAGCGGUGAAAUGCGCAGAUAUCAGGAGGAACACCGAUGGCGAAGGCAGGUCUCUGGGCCACUACUGACGCUGAGAAGCGAAAGCAUGGGGAGCGAACAGG
Molecule: ribosomal RNA, 253 nt
Filed under: uncultured bacterium
Lineage: Bacteria
Description: partial 16S ribosomal RNA
Rfam family: Bacterial small subunit ribosomal RNA
Source: RNAcentral